GGCUUGGUAGCUCAGUUGGUAGAGCAGUGGACAGAAAAUCCAUGUGUCGCUGGUUCGAUUCCGACCCGAGCCA
Molecule: transfer RNA, 73 nt
Filed under: Fidelibacterota bacterium
Lineage: Bacteria; Pseudomonadati; Fidelibacterota
Description: tRNA-Phe
Rfam family: tRNA
About the family: Transfer RNA (tRNA) molecules are approximately 80 nucleotides in length. Their secondary structure includes four short double-helical elements and three loops (D, anti-codon, and T loops).
Source: RNAcentral